AUGAUUCCAAAAACUUUGUGUGAUUUGCUACGUUUCCGUGAUUUUGAUGAUUGUUCUUUAAACUUGCACCUUGCGGAUUCCACAAUUAAGAAACCUAUGGGAAGAAUUAAUGAUGUUCUUAUUGUUGCAAAUAGGAACUAUGUGCUCGUCGAUUUCAUUGUUCUUGAUAUAGAUUGGAAUCCUUCAUGUCCUAUUAUUCUUGGUAGACCUUUCCUUAGAACGAUUGGUGCAAUUAUUGAUAUGAAGGAAGGGAAUAUUAAAUUGCAAUUUCCAUUAAGGAAAGGCAUGGAACACUUCCCUAGAAAGAAAAUUAAAUUACCAUAUGAAUAUAUUAUGAGAUCCACUUAUGGAUUUCCUACCAAAGAUGGCAAUACCUAG
This 378-nucleotide ribosomal RNA is filed under the name Triticum aestivum (bread wheat). RNAcentral describes it as "partial small subunit ribosomal RNA". The record is from RNAcentral. Lineage: Eukaryota; Viridiplantae; Streptophyta; Magnoliopsida; Poales; Poaceae.